GCUGCCGCCUCCCGCCCUUCGCCCGCGCUCUGCAAGGCCCUGGUCACGCCUCCUUCCCAGGCUGGGGGUGCCCAGGCGCGCAGCGUGCCCCGGCCUGGGCCCAUGGGGCCUGGCUGCCGUGUCCCCGCCCCGCGCCCCGGAGCCCGCGGGCGUCGCUGGCUUGGGUUGCCCCGGCGUUGCGACCUCUUGUGCCGCGGCUCGGGAUGGUUGGCGUUUUUCUGAAAGCCUCGGCUCCGGGAGUCCUGUGAUUAUGUGAGAAUCUUGGCUUUUCGUUUCUCUUCAAAAACAUUUGGUGUUGAACUCAUGGGAUCUGGAUUUCUGUCCUGUCAUGUGAUGGUCGGCGGAUGGUGAAAGGACCAGGCUACAUUGAUGUGUUAAGGUAUCACUGGCAGCUGGUUCAUAGCUGCAAAUGUUUCAAGCCUCCCUCUUCUGUCCCAAAAGCUAUCGCAGAUAAGCCGGCGAAAAAAACGCAUGCUCAAUGAAACGUUCUCUGAGCUCAUGCAGUCGUCCGGCACUGACAGAGCUCAGCAGAAUGUGUGGAGGGACACAGUAGCACAGUACAGGAAAGCGGCCGAUGAACAUGAGGACAGGAGGGACGUUUGAGAUAAGAGGUGGCGUCAGGAAGAUCAGAGGAGGCAUGAGGCAACGCUGAGGCUACUGCGGGAUGAAACGGACAUGCUCCGGCAUCUGGUAGAGGUUCAGGAACGGCAGCAGGAUCACACACUGCCGCUGCAGCCCCUGUUUAACCGCCCUCCCUCCUCCCCAAGUUCCAUAGCCUCCUCACCCAGACGCCCAAGAACGUGGGGGAAGAGGGGAGGAUCCAGGCACCCAACCACUCCACCCCAGUGGAUAACCCAAGCAACAGAAGGCUGUCAUUCAACAAGUUUUGAAAUGGCCUUUUCCUUCCUUCCUACUCUCCUCCCACAUCCCACCUGGGCUACCUUGUGAGUUAUCUCCCUAUUUUUAUAAUCAAUUAAUAAAGAAUACAUGUUUUUUAAA
Long non-coding RNA from Caretta caretta (loggerhead turtle), 999 nucleotides. RefSeq lists it as uncharacterized. The record is from RefSeq and is a predicted model, not a curated record. NCBI's taxonomy places the organism in Eukaryota, Metazoa, Chordata, Testudines, Cheloniidae.